RNAcentral lists this ribosomal RNA (492 nucleotides) under uncultured bacterium. Its description in RNAcentral is "partial 16S ribosomal RNA". It matches the Rfam family "Bacterial small subunit ribosomal RNA", at positions 29 to 507 of the family's 1533-position model. The record is from RNAcentral.
AGUGAACGCUGGCGGUAGGCCUAACACAUGCAAGUCGAACGGCAGCACAGUAAGAGCUUGCUCUUACGGGUGGCGAGUGGCGGACGGGUGAGGAAUACAUCGGAAUCUACUUUUUCGUGGGGGAUAAAGUAGGGAAACUUACGCUAAUACCGCAUAAGACCUACGGGUGAAAGCAGGGGAUCUUCGGACCUUGCGCGAUUGAAUGAGCCGAUGUCGGAUUAGCUAGUUGGAGGGGUAAAGGCCCACCAAGGCGACGAUCCGUAGCUGGUCUGAGAGGAUGAUCAGCCACACGGGAACUGAGACACGGUCCAGACUCCUACGGGAGGCAGCAGUGGGGAAUAUUGGACAAUGGGCGCAAGCCUGAUCCAGCCAUACCGCGUGGGUGAAGAAGGCCUUCGGGUUGUAAAGCCCUUUUGUUGGGAAAGAAAAGCAGCAGGUUAAUACCCCGCUGUUCUGACGGUACCCAAAGAAUAAGCACCGGCUAACUUCGUG